GCCCAGGUGGUGAAAUGGCAUACACGCUAGCUUGAGGUGCUAGUGCUCGCAAGGGCGUGCAGGUUCAACUCCUGUUCUGGGCA
This 83-nucleotide transfer RNA is filed under the name Chthonomonadaceae bacterium. It matches the Rfam family "tRNA". From Rfam's summary of the family: Transfer RNA (tRNA) molecules are approximately 80 nucleotides in length. Their secondary structure includes four short double-helical elements and three loops (D, anti-codon, and T loops). Further hydrogen bonds mediate the characteristic L-shaped molecular structure. tRNAs have two regions of fundamental functional importance: the anti-codon, which is responsible for specific mRNA codon recognition, and the 3' end, to which the tRNAs corresponding amino acid is attached (by aminoacyl-tRNA synthetases). tRNAs cope with the degeneracy of the genetic code in two manners: having more than one tRNA (with a specific anti-codon) for a particular amino acid; and 'wobble' base-pairing, i.e. permitting non-standard base-pairing at the 3rd anti-codon position. The record is from Rfam by way of RNAcentral. Lineage: Bacteria; Bacillati; Armatimonadota; Chthonomonadia; Chthonomonadales; Chthonomonadaceae.